UGAGUGGCGAACUGGUGAGUAACACGUGGGAAACCUGCCCAGAAGCGGGGGAUAACACCUGGAAACAGAUGCUAAUACCGCAUAACAACUUGGACCGCAUGGUCCGAGCUUGAAAGAUGGCUUCGGCUAUCACUUUUGGAUGGUCCCGCGGCGUAUUAGCUAGAUGGUGGGGUAACGGCUCACCAUGGCAAUGAUACGUAGCCGACCUGAGAGGGUAAUCGGCCACAUUGGGACUGAGACACGGCCCAAACUCCUACGGGAGGCAGCAGUAGGGAAUCUUCCACAAUGGACGAAAGUCUGAUGGAGCAACGCCGCGUGAGUGAAGAAGGGUUUCGGCUCGUAAAACUCUGUUGUUAAAGAAGAACAUAUCUGAGAGUAACUGUUCAGGUAUUGACGGUAUUUAACCAGAAAGCCACGGCUAACUACGUGCCAGCAGCCGCGGUAAUACGUAGGUGGCAAGCGUUGUCCGGAUUUAUUGGGCGUAAAGCGAGCGCAGGCGGUUUUUUAAGUCUGAUGUGAAAGCCUUCGGCUCAACCGAAGAAGUGCAUCGGAAACUGGGAAACUUGAGUGCAGAAGAGGACAGUGGAACUCCAUGUGUAGCGGUGAAAUGCGUAGAUAUAUGGAAGAACACCAGUGGCGAAGGCGGCUGUCUGGUCUGUAACUGACGCUGAGGCUCGAAAGUAU
RNAcentral lists this ribosomal RNA (684 nucleotides) under Lactiplantibacillus plantarum. RNAcentral's name for it is "bacterial SSU rRNA". It matches the Rfam family "Bacterial small subunit ribosomal RNA", at positions 92 to 762 of the family's 1533-position model. The record is from RNAcentral. Lineage: Bacteria; Bacillati; Bacillota; Bacilli; Lactobacillales; Lactobacillaceae.